AAUAUUGAAAAUGUAUUUGGCUUAGCUUAGUCGGUGAUAAAUCCUUAACUUUCUUAAUCUCCUUUAUAUUGUUCUCCGUGGGAUAGACCCUGACUCAUAGUUGGGUAAAUUGUAUUGCAACGACUGUGUACACUUUCUUUUUGGAGAGUGGAUUUGGACGUUAUCAAAAGUCUCUAACGUCUUUGAUCUGCAUUCUGUAUGUUCUCCUAUCGUUUGUUGUACAAGUAAAAAAAAAAUCUCAUUCUGCUAGUAGAAAUGGAAAAAUAUCAACACCGAUGAUGAUUCUAUUACUGAACUCUCCAACAACUGUCUAAUAUUAUGACAUAUUACAAGUUUUGGAUUACCUUUUUUUUUUUUUUUUUUUACAUAUUUCAAAAUGAAGUUGAUUUAUUUCCUGUUUAUGUGAGAUUGCAAUUGCAUUGAACUAGAGCAAUUAUGCUGAUUUGUCUACAUUUUUUUGGAUUCGUGUCUUUCUAUAACUCAUGUUUUUGAAGGUUGAUUUUCUUGGACUUUGCAGGUGUGCAUUUUCUACUUGGUCCGUCAAGCACUUAACACAGGAUGAUACCAUCAUUCUCACCAAGGUUAAAGUACCUCUGCUGGUGUUUUUCCAUCAGCAUGUUUAUGAUCAUGAAUGCAUUUUUCAUGGAAGUGUACGAAUAGAAUCUGCUAGACUCCCUCAGUAUUUGGUUCCAUUUUCCUUAUUACUUGCCAGCAGAUUGGUCUCUAUCUUGUGAAAAAGGUAUGAUAAUAGGAGGCGAAGAGCUUUAUUCAUGCUAUAGUUUUCAUUAUGCUUAAGAAACUUUGCACACUUCUCUUCUUAGAAACUCUGUUAUUAGAUUUUAAGUGUUAAGUAUUAUAGGAAAUU
Lycium ferocissimum is the source of this 865-nucleotide long non-coding RNA. RefSeq lists it as uncharacterized. The record is from RefSeq and is a predicted model, not a curated record. NCBI's taxonomy places the organism in Eukaryota, Viridiplantae, Streptophyta, Magnoliopsida, Solanales, Solanaceae. The transcript has 3 exons.